GACGAACGCUGGCGGCGUGCCUAAUACAUGCAAGUCGAACGCUUCUUUUCCCACCGGAGCUUGCUCCACCGGGAAAAGAGGAGUGGCGAACGGGUGAGUAACACGUGGGUAACCUGCCCAUCAGAAGGGGAUAACACUUGGAAACAGGUGCUAAUACCGUAUAACAAUCGAAACCGCAUGGUUUCGUUUUGAAAGGCGCUUUACGGUGCCGCUGAUGGAUGGACCCGCGGUGCAUUAGCUAGUUGGUGAGGUAACGGCUCACCAAGGCCACGAUGCAUAGCCGACCUGAGAGGGUGAUCGGCCACAUUGGGACUGAGACACGGUCCAAACUUCUACGGGAGGCAGCAGUAGGGAAUCUUCGGCAAUGGACGAAAGUCUGACCGAGCAACGCCGCGUGAGUGAAGAAGGUUUUCGGAUCGUAAAACUCUGUUGUUAGAGAAGAACAAGGGUGAGAGUAACUGUUCACCCCUUGACGGUAUCUAACCAGAAAGCCACGGCUAACUACGUGCCAGCAGCCGCGGUAAUACGUAGGUGGCAAGCGUUGUCCGGAUUUAUUGGGCGUAAAGCGAGCGCAGGCGGUUUCUUAAGUCUGAUGUGAAAGCCCCCGGCUCAACCGGGGAGGGUCAUUGGAAACUGGGAGACUUGAGUGCAGAAGAGGAGAGUGGAAUUCCAUGUGUAGCGGUGAAAUGCGUAGAUAUAUGGAGGAACACCAGUGGCGAAGGCGGCUCUCUGGUCUGUAACUGACGCUGAGGCUCGAAAGCGUGGGGAGCAAACAGGAUUAGAUACCCUGGUAGUCCACGCCGUAAACGAUGAGUGCUAAGUGUUGGAGGGUUUCCGCCCUUCAGUGCUGCAGCUAACGCAUUAAGCACUCCGCCUGGGGAGUACGACCGCAAGGUUGAAACUCAAAGGAAUUGACGGGGGCCCGCACAAGCGGUGGAGCAUGUGGUUUAAUUCGAAGCAACGCGAAGAACCUUACCAGGUCUUGACAUCCUUUGACCACUCUAGAGAUAGAGCUUCCCCUUCGGGGGCAAAGUGACAGGUGGUGCAUGGUUGUCGUCAGCUCGUGUCGUGAGAUGUUGGGUUAAGUCCCGCAACGAGCGCAACCCUUAUUGUUAGUUGCCAUCAUUUAGUUGGGCACUCUAGCAAGACUGCCGGUGACAAACCGGAGGAAGGUGGGGAUGACGUCAAAUCAUCAUGCCCCUUAUGACCUGGGCUACACACGUGCUACAAUGGGAAGUACAACGAGUCGCGAAGUCGCGAGGCUAAGCUAAUCUCUUAAAGCUUCUCUCAGUUCGGAUUGUAGGCUGCAACUCGCCUACAUGAAGCCGGAAUCGCUAGUAAUCGCGGAUCAGCACGCCGCGGUGAAUACGUUCCCGGGCCUUGUACACACCGCCCGUCACACCACGAGAGUUUGUAACACCCGAAGUCGGUGAGGUAACCUUUUUGGAGCCAGCCGCCUAAGGUGGGAUAGAUGAUUGGGGUG
This 1483-nucleotide ribosomal RNA is filed under the name Enterococcus mundtii. RNAcentral's name for it is "bacterial SSU rRNA". It matches the Rfam family "Bacterial small subunit ribosomal RNA". The record is from RNAcentral. Lineage: Bacteria; Bacillati; Bacillota; Bacilli; Lactobacillales; Enterococcaceae.